RNAcentral lists this ribosomal RNA (523 nucleotides) under uncultured archaeon. RNAcentral's name for it is "bacterial SSU rRNA". It matches the Rfam family "Archaeal small subunit ribosomal RNA", at positions 149 to 656 of the family's 1478-position model. The record is from RNAcentral.
AUCCGCGGUAGGUCGCCUCAUCUGGAAGGAGAGGCGGCUCAAAGGGGAGUUGUGGGCUUCCACUACUUUCGCUCCAGGAUGGGACUGCGGCCGAUCAGGCUGUUGGCGGGGUAAUGGCCCACCAAACCUGUAACCGGUACGGGCUUUGAGAGAAGGAGCCCGGAGAUGGACACUGAGAAAAGGGUCCAGGUCCUACGGGGCGCAGCAGGCGCGGAACCUUCGCAAUGCGCGAAAGCGUGACGAGGUUAGUCCGAGUGGCUUCCGCUGAGGAGGUCUUUUGCUAGCUGUAAAAAGGCUGGAGAAUAAGGGGAGGGCAAGCCUGGUGUCAGCCGCCGCGGUAAUACCAGCUCCUCGAGUGGUCAGGGCGAUUAUUGGGCCUAAAGCAUCCGUAGCCGGUUCGGUAGGUCCUCUGCUAAAUCCAAUCGCUUAACGAUUGGCCCGCAGAGGAUACCGUCGGACUAGGAGGCGGGAGAGGUGGACGGUACUCCGCGGGUAGGGGUAAAAUCCUUUGAUCCGCGGAAGA